UACAGAGGGGGCAAGCGUUGUUCGGAAUUACUGGGCGUAAAGGGCGCGUAGGCGGCCGCCUAAGUCAGGCGUGAAAUCCCUCGGCUCAACCGGGGAACUGCGUCUGAUACUGGAUGGCUUGAGUUCGGGAGAGGGAUGCGGAAUUCCAGGUGUAGCGGUGAAAUGCGUAGAUAUCUGGAGGAACACCGGUGGCGAAGGCGGCAUCCUGGACCGACACUGACACUGAGGAGCGAAAGCCAGGGGAGCAAACGGG
RNAcentral lists this ribosomal RNA (253 nucleotides) under uncultured bacterium. Its description in RNAcentral is "partial 16S ribosomal RNA". It matches the Rfam family "Bacterial small subunit ribosomal RNA", at positions 524 to 776 of the family's 1533-position model. The record is from RNAcentral.